CCCCUGAUUAAGGCAAAGGCACAGUGUCCAAGAAAAAUUUCCUGCUCUAGUAGAUUGCAAUACGGGACCAAAGCCCAAAGACUCCCAAGACAUUUCAACAGCCAGUAACCAUCUGCAUGUCCUGGGAGGAAUAGCUAACCUGAGAGCAGCUUUCCUUCUACACAAUCUCUGUUGGCCUGAGGAGCCUGCCUGGAAAUGCCUUGUAUAGGAGAAAAGGGAAUGUUUCUCUGAUCAAGUACUGGACAAGACCUGUGCAGGAAGGGAAAAGAAGGCACCUUUGUCUUGGUUUGGUUUGGCAUCAGUUUUGCUUCAAAAUGACAUCCAUGUGAAGAACUCUCCUUGAAUCAGGGUACUCAACAGCCGGCAUCAAUGACUUGGAAGGGAAAGGUACAGUCCCCUAUCAGCAAAGCCCCAAGGUCUGCAAGAUUAUAACAUGGGAGAGAAGCCAAGUACCUGUAAAUGCAAGGUGAAGUAGGUGGCAGUCACAUAAGUAUGCAGAAGCAGGAGGAGGAAUAAUAUUGCAGAGAAUCAGCUUUGAAGAAGUCAUAUGAAUAGAGACUGCAGCAGCGGUACUGUUAGAAACCAUCCAGUUGUGGAUAUAUCUAAAAUUCACAUAUCUUCAUGAAGAAACAUGCACUCAGCAUUUUUCUCCAUCUUAAUUUUAGGUUAAGCAUGAAGCCACUGCAACCAUUCAGCAGGUGCCUUAGGUUUAUAUAACUUUUCAAUGAUCAACUAUACAAUAUUACUGACUGAACCUCCUUCCACAUACCACCUAUGAACACUGGAAUUACUACUUCCAAUGUACAUUGGUGUAAAUAAAAGGAAAACCGGACUCAUUAGCUAACUUCCUUUGCAGGCUAGGACCCAUGUCAACCCCACCAGCCUACUCGUAUUAGAAUAUUAAAAUGGAGAAGCAGAAGAAAAGGGUAUAGAAUUUGCUUAUACAGAGAUGUUUGCCAAGCACUGAAGACCAGAGGACAAUGCAAUAUUAAGUAAGAAAUAACACAUCCAGGAAGAGUCAUUCUCCUAACAGGUUACAUGGUCAUUAAUUAGUUCACUAAUCAUCAUGCUGUACUUCUUGAUGGGUUUUAAUAGUUUGGCUUGCAAGUGCAUUCUAAAAACCAAUAAAAACAAGUUUAUAUGUAUUGAUACUGUU
This is a long non-coding RNA of Alligator mississippiensis (American alligator), 1156 nucleotides long. RefSeq lists it as uncharacterized. The record is from RefSeq and is a predicted model, not a curated record. NCBI's taxonomy places the organism in Eukaryota, Metazoa, Chordata, Crocodylia, Alligatoridae. The transcript has 6 exons.